This 253-nucleotide ribosomal RNA is filed under the name uncultured bacterium. RNAcentral describes it as "partial 16S ribosomal RNA". It matches the Rfam family "Bacterial small subunit ribosomal RNA", at positions 524 to 776 of the family's 1533-position model. The record is from RNAcentral.
UACAGAGGUCUCAAGCGUUGUUCGGAUUCAUUGGGCGUAAAGGGUGCGUAGGUGGCGCCUUAAGUCAGGUGUGAAAUUUCGGAGCUUAACUCCGAAACUGCAUUUGAUACUGCGGUGCUUGAGGACUGGAGAGGAGACUGGAAUUUACGGUGUAGCAGUGAAAUGCGUAGAGAUCGUAAGGAAGACCAGUGGCGAAGGCGGGUCUCUGGACAGUUCCUGACACUGAGGCACGAAGGCCAGGGGAGCAAACGGG